AAGGGAGACCUAAUUCAGGUAUGGGACGAAAAAAAAGUAGUCGCUACCAAGAAUCAAUCCCAAAAGGUCGGAGCGAGGUAUGAGGCUUUCUCACUAGGUUCUGGGUUCAAACAAGACCUGAAUCAGGAACAAGGGCUAUUAGCUCAGGUGGUUAGAGCGCACCCCUGAUAAGGGUGAGGUCCCUGGUUCGAGUCCAGGAUGGCCCACCUGCACAGGUGGCAAAAACAAGAGAAGCUCCGAAUCAGCACCUUAUCUUAUCUAUAUAUAAGAGAGAAUGCUGGCUCUGAGUAAAGAGUCCAGAGGAACCUUGAAAACUGCAUAGAGCUAGGUGAAAAAGCCAAAAAAGAAGACCGCAA
RNAcentral lists this transfer RNA (356 nucleotides) under Microcystis aeruginosa. RNAcentral describes it as "16S-23S ribosomal RNA intergenic spacer". The stretch from base 133 to 206 matches the Rfam family "tRNA". The record is from RNAcentral. Lineage: Bacteria; Bacillati; Cyanobacteriota; Cyanophyceae; Chroococcales; Microcystaceae.